CGAAGCCCGGUUAUACAAGUUCAUGUAUCGAUCCGGGUAAGGCUACAGGGUGUUUUAAUCCAAUGGAGCGUCAACCUGGAUGCAUUGAAUGCCGACAUAGAUACUUGAGGGGGUCGAAUUCAGGUAGCGGUGAAUGGUAGAAUCGAAGAAUACGGUGGGGAGGCGGCCCCUUGACAGAUACUGACAUUCAGAUGCGAAAGCGUGGGAGCAACAGGAUUAGAUACCUGUAGUCCUGCCGUAAACGAUGUUAACUUGGAGGUCGUGGACUGAGCAGUGGCUUUCGGAGCUAACGCGUUAAGUAGACGCUGGGGAGUACGGUCGCAAGAUUAAAACUCAAAUGAAUUGACGGGGGCCCGCACAAGCGGUGGAGCAUGUGGUUUAAUUCGAUGCAACGCGAAGAACCUUACCUACUCUUGACAUCCAGAGAACUUUCCAGAGAUGGAUUGGUGCCUUCGGGAACUCUGAGACAGGUGCUGCAUGGCUGUCGUCAGCUCGUGUUGUGAAAUGUUGGGUUAAGUCCCGCAACGAGCGCAACCCUUAUCCUUGUUUGCCAGCGAGUAAUGUCGGGAACUCCAGGGAGACUGCCGGUGAUAAACCGGAGGAAGGUGGGGACGACGUCAAGUCAUCAUGGCCCUUACGAGUAGGGCUACACACGUGCUACAAUGGCGCAUACAGAGGGCGGCCAACUUGCGAAAGUGAGCGAAUCCCAAAAAGUGCGUCGUAGUCCGGAUUGGAGUCUGCAACUCGACUCCAUGAAGUCGGAAUCGCUAGUAAUCGUGGAUCAGAAUGCCACGGUGAAUACGUUCCCGGGCCUUGUACACACCGCCCGUCACACCAUGGAGAGGUGGGCUGCAAAAGAAGUAGGUAGUUAACCUUCGGGGGGACGCUACCAGAUUUUGUUAU
RNAcentral lists this ribosomal RNA (903 nucleotides) under Vibrio alginolyticus. Its description in RNAcentral is "bacterial SSU rRNA". It matches the Rfam family "Bacterial small subunit ribosomal RNA", at positions 539 to 1468 of the family's 1533-position model. Lineage: Bacteria; Pseudomonadati; Pseudomonadota; Gammaproteobacteria; Vibrionales; Vibrionaceae. The record is from RNAcentral.